This 137-nucleotide ribosomal RNA is filed under the name uncultured Trebouxiophyceae. RNAcentral describes it as "partial small subunit ribosomal RNA". It matches the Rfam family "Eukaryotic small subunit ribosomal RNA", at positions 1670 to 1804 of the family's 1831-position model. The record is from RNAcentral. Lineage: Eukaryota; Viridiplantae; Chlorophyta; Trebouxiophyceae.
CGCCCGUCGCUCCUACCGAUUGGGUGUGCUGGUGAAGUGUUCGGAUUGGCGUCAAUUGGCGGUUCGCCGCCGGCUGGCGCUGAGAAGUUCAUUAAACCCUCCCACCUAGAGGAAGGAGAAGUCGUAACAAGGUCUCC